UGCAAAUUCAGGAGGUUACAGUCAUCCAUAAUACAAUCGGCUUGGCGGAAGCAUUCCAGGUUCAUUUCAGAAGCUAAUUUCCCAAACAUAUCGAGGAACGUCAGAUAACAGAUUUACUCCAAGAAUUACUAACAUCAUCAAUUGGAGCAUAUGCCUUGUGUACUUGGAUCACGCAGUUACUCCUGGUUGCCAGCAAAGGAUUGAGUGCUCAUUGAUAUCCCCAAAUUUUAUUUACAAACCCUGGUACAUUGCGGAUGAGUGAACUUCCGUUCGUCCUUCUGCAGUUUCUUCAAGCAACUACUUGAAAUGUUUUCUCUGCAGUUGGCUCACAAGUUUUAAUUUCAUGACUUGUGCUUUAGCUAGAUUUUAUCCAAUCAAUCAUGGUUUUGGUUUAGUACAAGUGUCAUCUGGUUGCUUCCGAAAGCAAUUAAGCAGCCAUAUACUCCGUAGGAUAAUUAUCAUUGCAUCCCCCUAUCAUGUUUAAAAUAUUUUGACUUUUUCUGCUAAAAUUCAUAUAUCUUAUACAUGUAUAGGAACUCCUGAAUACCAUGAUGCAUUUACUAAUUUCAUAGAUACAGUCAAUGGGAAACUUGGAAAUCCUGAAAUCAUAUUUAGUUGUCCUUGUGGUGAUAGUAAGAAUCUCGCUGUGCGAAUUCAUGGGGAGCCGGCUAGCUGCUAGCAUUUCUAAUUAUGUUCACCAAGAGAGAGCAACACCCAGUGUAUAUCAGGUGGAUCUUUCAUGUUGCAGAUGAUGCUCUUAUUGAUCAGGUUCAUGAAAUUAGACACGCUCGAUGGGGAUUCGCAAAGCUGGUGGAAGAUACUGACAGCACUAGUUGAUCUUCUUAUCUAUUUGAGUUUAAGUAUUGAUUUUAACUGUACAUUUGUGAUAGCAAUUUGCACUACUUCUUCCAUAA
Long non-coding RNA from Papaver somniferum (opium poppy), 914 nucleotides. RefSeq lists it as uncharacterized. Lineage: Eukaryota; Viridiplantae; Streptophyta; Magnoliopsida; Ranunculales; Papaveraceae. The record is from RefSeq and is a predicted model, not a curated record. The transcript has 3 exons.